CGAACGCUGGCGGCGUGCCUAAUACAUGCAAGUUGAGCGAUGAAGAUUGGUGCUUGCACCAAUUUGAAGAGCAGCGAGCGGGUGAGUAACGCGUGGGGAAUCUGCCUUUGAGCGGGGGACAACAUUUGGAAACGAAUGCUAAUACCGCAUAACAACUUUAAACAUAAGUUUUAAGUUUGAAAGAUGCAAUUGCAUCACUCAAAGAUGAUCCCGCGUUGUAUUAGCUAGUUGGUGAGGUAAAGGCUCACCAAGGCGAUGAUACAUAGCCGACCUGAGAGGGUGAUCGGCCACAUUGGGACUGAGACACGGCCCAAACUCCUACGGGAGGCAGCAGUAGGGAAUCUUCGGCAAUGGACGAAAGUCUGACCGAGCAACGCCGCGUGAGUGAAGAAGGUUUUCGGAUCGUAAAACUCUGUUGGUAGAGAAGAACGUUGGUGAGAGUGGAAAGCUCAUCAAGUGACGGUAACUACCCAGAAAGGGACGGCUAACUACGUG
This 495-nucleotide ribosomal RNA is filed under the name uncultured bacterium. Its description in RNAcentral is "partial 16S ribosomal RNA". It matches the Rfam family "Bacterial small subunit ribosomal RNA", at positions 30 to 507 of the family's 1533-position model. The record is from RNAcentral.